GAGGCACAGCUUUGCCUUGAUCUUAGUUGAUGAGCAAGAAAAUGGGAAUCUCUAAAGGACCCAACAUUUCAUUCCUCCAUUAUAUCUGCACUGACUCAGCCUGUAAAUAAGAGGUUUAUGAGUGCUGGAGAGCCAGCUGGAAGCUACCUGUGUCUCAUACACUUCCUUUUUUUUUUCUUCUUUUUUCCAAAUGCCUCCAGCACUGAAAUGUUCCUUUGAGGAUUUCUAGAGAGAGCAGUAGACUGAGAAAAAUUCUGCCCUGCAGCAGGGAGCACCAUGGUGUCACCGUGAUCCUCCUCGUCAUCAGCAUGUGCGCCCAGCAUCUGCCUCCAGAGCUCUGACUCAGCCUCAGCCCAGCUCCAAGUGCUGCUCCACGUGCUUUCUGACUCCUUUAUCUGCAAGGCUCCUGCCUUCUCCUGUCACACAUUGAGUCCAGCUGCCUCAGAGCUGCUGCCCCACACUGCCUUCUCUGCAGCACACGUGGGACCUCUUCAGCAUCUUGGCUUUCAUCUGCUGUGGAAGUGAGAACAAUCAGUGGAUUAAAUGUGGGAACUCUUGGACUGGGAGAUUAAACUGAUGUAAUGAGUCUCCUCAACCUACAUUCACCAAAACAGACUUGCAGAAGCUGAUUAAACAAAACUGUCUCAUAGUGCUGUGUCACAACCUCAGAGAAAAUAGGGGGAAGGAGUGAGGGCAGGAGGGGCUUCUGAAACCUGUGGAGUGGUACCUUCAUAUGGCAAGGAGAAGCUGCAGAAGUAAAAGCUUUGUAAAUAUAAUUUCAAGGCUGCACCUGGUAAGGGAAAUAUAGCUUGAAGUACACAGGAUCAUUAAGGCUGGGAAAAACCUUUAAGAUCAUUAACACAGCACUGUCAUGUCUACCACUAAACCAUGUCUCCAAGCACCACAUCUACAUGGUUUUUUUAACAUUUCCAGAUAUUCCACUCCACCAGUGCCUUGGCAAGCCUGUGGCAAUGGCUUCAGUGAAGAAGUGAAGAAAUUUUCGCUAAUAUCCAAUCUUCCCCUGGCUCAGCCUGAGGCCGUUCCCUCUCCUCCUGUCCCUGUUUCCUGGAGCAGAGCCCGACCCCUCUGACUGUUCCCUCCUGUCAGGAGUUGUGCAGAGCCAGAAAUUCCCCCUGAGCCUCCUUUUGUCCAAGCUGAGCCUUUUUCCCAUCUCCCUCAGCCCCUCCUGGUGCUGCAGCCCCUUCCCCAGCACCGUCCCCUUCCCUGGGCCUGCUCCAUUCAGAUCAUGCUUCUUCCAGUUUGAUAAGGAAAAAAUUCUGCUGAAAAAUGCACGUGUGCUCCUGACAGGACAAGAUGUUUGCAGCCUUUGGUUGGCAGGGAAAGCUUCCACCAUCCCAGGCUGCUCCAAGCCCUGUCCAGCCUGGCUUGGACCCUGCCAGGGACCCAGGGGCAGCCACAGCUGCUCUGGGCACCCUGUGCCAGGGCUGCCCACCCUCACAGGGAGCAAUUCCUAAUUCCCAAUAUCCCAUCCAGCCCUGCCCUCUGGCAGUGGGAGCCAUUCCCCUUGUCCUGUCACUUCAGGCUGUCCAAAGUCUCUCUCAGAGCCCUUUGGGCACUGGAAGGGGCUGUUAUGUCUCCCUGGAACCUUCUCUCUUCCAGGCUGAGCAUUCCCAGCUCUCCCACCCUUUCCUUGUAGGACAUGAUAUUGAUCCCACUACAAAAUGGAGCCUGUUAUUCAAACCAGAGUGGAUAAAAAGUCAUGGCCUGCAUGGAAAAGAGCUAUCUUUGUGCAAGCUUUGAUGUUAAAAAAUAGUAACUUGAACUCACAGAUGUACUGAUUGCCCUGCUAAAAGAAGACGUGGAAUCUCUUCUCAGAAUUACAGCAUUUUAAUUAGAAGAAUGUGAGCAAAGCCUUAAUCUUGUUAGUAAGGAUAGAUACGGAUGAGGCAGAAACAAAAUCCACAGCAACACAGUCCAAACACAAAAAGCUGUCUUGGAGGUUGGUAACAGCACCAGAACUGCUCCCUGCCACUGCUUUUCCUGCAAGACUAAGCUUGACACUGACUAAGUUGGAAGAAAUUGCUCUUCUGCCUUGUAGCACUGAACUACAUCACACACAGCUGUUUGAGAAAAAAUAGCUGAAAUGUGGGAAAGGUACUUCAGAUUUACAAACCAAAUCCACAGAAACUUGAUUAUUCUCUUUAAAGUUCUUUUGAGCCCUUCUAAAUUCUUGUGACAUUCAAGGAUCAAUAAGAAUCUCAUCUGUAGCUGAUCCUGACAGAUGUUAAUCUUUGCCUUGGCUUUGCAGUCUGCUCGAAAUAGUACUUGUUCCUUCAUGUCAGGCCUCUGGCAAUGCUUACAGAGCCAGGAUUACAGUCUCCAGUCAAUCCCAUUUGUGCUGUCAUUAACUUUCUAAACUGUUCCCCAUAGCUGGCAACCUUUCCAUGCUUGGAGAUCUACUUAGUGGGAAGCUGGGAGAGUGAUGGGUUUUGCCUGUCUGGAAUUAUUGUGCUUUUAAUUGAGAUUUGUUUAAUUUUGUCAUUAAGUCCAUUUACAUUGUAGGCAUUUCAUGACCAUGAUUACACACUGUGACUGUACCCUGGCUGUGUUUUGUGCCAUUUACCUAUUAAAGAAAGAGAAAAAAGCUCUGUGUUUACUUAAGAUUUUUACAAGUAGCCUUUGUUUUUUUUCUUCCAUUAACUUAUUUAAUAAAUUAAUUUGAUUUUUGGAUUGGAAAAAAAUUGCUCAUCUGCACAUUCUGUGCUGUG
This is a non-coding RNA of Taeniopygia guttata (zebra finch), 2729 nucleotides long. NCBI's taxonomy places the organism in Eukaryota, Metazoa, Chordata, Aves, Passeriformes, Estrildidae. The record is from RefSeq and is a predicted model, not a curated record.